GACGAACGCUGGCGGCGUGCUUAACACAUGCAAGUCGAACGGAGCACCCUUGAUUGAGGUUUCGGCCAAAUGAUAGGAAUGCUUAGUGGCGGACUGGUGAGUAACGCGUGAGGAACCUGCCUUUCAGAGGGGGACAACAGUUGGAAACGACUGCUAAUACCGCAUGACGCAUUUUGAUCGCAUGGUCGAAAUGCCAAAGACUUAUCGCUGAAAGAUGGCCUCGCGUCUGAUUAGCUAGUUGGUGAGGUAACGGCCCACCAAGGCGACGAUCAGUAGCCAGACUGAGAGGUUGACCGGCCACAUUGGGACUGAGAUACGGCCCAGACUCCUACGGGAGGCAGCAGUGGGGAAUAUUGGGCAAUGGGCGCAAGCCUGACCCAGCAACGCCGCGUGAAGGAAGAAGGCUUUCGGGUUGUAAACUUCUUUUAAGUGGGAAGAGUAGAAGACGGUACCACUUGAAUAAGCCACGGCUAACUACGUGCCAGCCGCCGCCGUAA
This 497-nucleotide ribosomal RNA is filed under the name uncultured bacterium. Its description in RNAcentral is "partial 16S ribosomal RNA". It matches the Rfam family "Bacterial small subunit ribosomal RNA", at positions 28 to 523 of the family's 1533-position model. The record is from RNAcentral.